Molecule: ribosomal RNA, 484 nt
Filed under: uncultured bacterium
Lineage: Bacteria
Description: partial 16S ribosomal RNA
Rfam family: Bacterial small subunit ribosomal RNA
Source: RNAcentral
AUUGAACGCUGGCGGAAUGCUUUACACAUGCAAGUCGAGCGGCAGCACGGGGGCAACCCUGGUUGCGAGCGGCGAACGGGUGAGUAAUACAUCGGAACAUGCCCAGUCGUGGGGGAUAACACUUCGAAAGAAGUGCUAAUACCGCAUACGUCCUGAGGGAGAAACCGGGGGAUCGCAAGACCUCGCGCGAUUUGAUUUGCCGAUGUCGGAUUCGCUAGUUGGUGGGGUAAAGGCCUACCAAGGCAACGAUCUGUAGCUGGUCUGAGAGGAUGAUCUGCCACACUGGAACUGAGACACGGCCCAGACUCCUACGGGAGGCAGCAGUGGGGAAUUUUGGACAAUGGGGGAAACCCUGAUCCAGCAAUGCCGCGUGAGUGAAGAAGGCCUUCGGGUUGUAAAGCUCUUUCGGCAGGAACGAAACGGUGAGCACUAACAUAGCUAGCUAAUGACGGUACCUGAAGAAGAAGCACCGGCUAACUACGUG